AACCAGCACCUCAAGUGGUCAGGAGGAUUAUUGGGCCUAAAGCAUCCGUAGCCGGCUCUGUAAGUUUUCGGUUAAAUCCAUGUGCUCAACGCAYGGGCUGCCGAAAAUACUGCAUAGCUAGGGAGUGGGAGAGGUAGACGGUACUCGGUAGGAAGGGGUAAAAUCCUUUGAUCUAUCGAUGACCACCUGUGGCGAAGGCGGUCUACCAGAACACGUUCGACGGUGAGGGAUGAAAGCUGGGGGAGCAAACCGGAUUAGAUACCCGGGUAGUCCCAGCUGUAAACGAUGCAGACUCGAUGAUGCAUUGGCAUAUAGCCAGUGCAGUGUCGCAGGGAAGCCGUUAAGUCUGCCGCCUGGGAAGUACGUACGCAAGUAUGAAACUUAA
This 385-nucleotide ribosomal RNA is filed under the name uncultured crenarchaeote. RNAcentral describes it as "bacterial SSU rRNA". It matches the Rfam family "Archaeal small subunit ribosomal RNA", at positions 474 to 859 of the family's 1478-position model. Lineage: Archaea; Thermoproteati; Thermoproteota. The record is from RNAcentral.